CUAGCGCUGGCCCUCUCCCAACAACAGUUCUAACACUUCAUUGGAGCUCGUUGCGACAACGACAUCAAGUCAUUUGAUUCCCACACAAAUCUCUGCAUGUUGAGCGCGACUCUCCUCCUAUCCCUCGCUCUUUCUCGCUCUCACUCGUUUUAUUAUGGCAAGUGAGUUAUGGGAUCAGAUGCUGGAAGAUGCCGCACAAUCAAACGGUGAGAACAGCUGGCAACCCCUAAAACUGGAAAUGACAGAUGGCGACGUCGACGCGGACGCGGCAGCGCAGGACGCGGUGUCGGUCCGGCUUCAAAACGUAAACACUGCCAGAGUUGCCGACGCACAGUCCUGGAAAUGGGACCUUAAAAUGCUAGUACUUACUUUUAACAAAACAAACGUAGAGUAGACUAUUUUCCAGCUUUUAAUUAUCUCUCUCCUUUGUCAUAAGUUACAGGCGCAACGAAAAUGUAAACAAUUGUUGUCGCUGUUGUUUGUCGCCUAAUGAAUUUCACGUUUUUAUGGCAUUUUCUACAAACACAAACCGGGCGAGAUAGGAAUAGGGGGUCUCACACAAACAAA
Molecule: long non-coding RNA, 567 nt
Organism: Drosophila pseudoobscura
Lineage: Eukaryota; Metazoa; Arthropoda; Insecta; Diptera; Drosophilidae
Exons: 2
Source: RefSeq, a predicted model, not a curated record